UGCGAAUAUUGAUAUGUUCUUUCCCUGCAUGAACCGCCAUUCAGCAUUUAAUUUACAUCACACAAAAGGAUAAACAUAUAAUUAUCAUGGAAUAAAUAUAUCAACAUACAUGGACUACAAUAAAGCAUAAAAUUAGUAACAUAUGAUCUAAAAAUAAAAUGAUACACGACGUUAUUGUUCUUCGUGGUCACGCUGGUGCCAUUGAUUGAAUUCGUUUAACAAUUCAUUGAUUCGAUCUAAAAACGAAUCAUCGAUAUUAGCAGGCGUCUAACUAUUCCCAAAUCCCUGAG
Molecule: long non-coding RNA, 290 nt
Filed under: Amborella trichopoda
Lineage: Eukaryota; Viridiplantae; Streptophyta; Magnoliopsida; Amborellales; Amborellaceae
Description: long non-coding RNA (ATRI_LNC001722)
Source: RNAcentral